UGUUAAUAAUUUAUAUUAUAAUACAUUUAUUGUAUUUAGUAUAAUAUUAACACAAUUCAUAUUACUAUAUUUUUUAGUAUAUGAAAUUUUACUUUGAGAAAAUUAGAGUGCUUAAAGCAGGCAUUAGCCUUGUAUACUACAGCAUGGAAUAAUAAUAAAAGAUUUUUACCUUUCUUUUUUUAUUGGCUCUAAGAUAAAAAUAAUGAUUAAUAGGGACAGUUGGGGGCAUUUGUAUUUAACAGUUAGAGGUGAGAUUCUUAGAUUCGUUAAAGACAAACUAAUGCGAAAGCAUUUGCCAAGGAUGUUUUCAUUAAUCAAGAACGAAAGUUAGGGGAUCGAAGACGAUCAGAUACCGUCGUAGUCUUAACCAUAAACUAUGCCAACUAGAGAUUGGAGGUUGUU
This 402-nucleotide ribosomal RNA is filed under the name Cryptosporidium environmental sequence. Its description in RNAcentral is "SSU rRNA". It matches the Rfam family "Eukaryotic small subunit ribosomal RNA", at positions 664 to 1064 of the family's 1831-position model. The record is from RNAcentral. Lineage: Eukaryota; Apicomplexa; Conoidasida; Eucoccidiorida; Cryptosporidiidae.